This 1488-nucleotide long non-coding RNA is filed under the name Sus scrofa (pig). RNAcentral's name for it is "lncRNA (ENSSSCG00040049985.1)". The record is from RNAcentral. Lineage: Eukaryota; Metazoa; Chordata; Mammalia; Artiodactyla; Suidae.
GGAUACUAUAUUUCUUGACCUCUGAGUGGCUGCAGGACCUCAAGAAAGUGUCUGUCCUGAUCUGGGUCUCAGUUUCUCUGUCUCUGAAAUGGGCACAUUGACUGGGGGCUUCUUUCAGGCAGGGAGGUCAUCGCCCCUGAGGUCAGAGGCCAGGCAGCGCUGAGGCACGUCCUAAUGCACUAGGUGUGAUGUCACCUCAGGGUCACAUCUAGAAAAUGCGAUUAAUGAAAGUCCUCGUCCCUCCUGGGGCUGUCGGGGGCACCGCUGUGGGUGCUGAGCUCGCACAGAGCCCAGCCCUACUGCAGCCUCCAGAGGUUGGGGCACCUGGUGGUCUUGGCUCUGGACACCAGGGGGCGCCUGGGCCUCACUGAAGGAGGACUGGUGCACCUUCCAACUCUUCCUGGUGGAUGAAAUGCUUAUUCUGACAGUGACAUUGUUCAGAACCCCCAGAGCUCAGCGGUCUCUUGCACCUUCACUCAGCCCUUAUUCCUUUGUCAAGUUCAUAUCCAACAGGUAUCAGAAAUGUCUGCCUACCCUCAGGGGUUCCAGGCCUGGCAGGGGGAGGGACAUUGAAUAACUAACCAGGGGCCCUCCUGAGACAAGCUCGGCCCAAGUCAAGGGGACUGGAAGAGCAUGUCCCAGAGAGCUGGACUGGUGGUGGGGGUGAUGUCCAGGAAGACUGUUCUAGAAGGAUGAGAUUUUAGCUCAAAUCCGAAGGCGAGCCUUUGGUAUUAAGGGAAGGGGUUCCCAGCAGAGGUUCCCAGCAUGAGCAAAGGUCUGGCCCGGAGGAGGCGGGUCAGAGCCCAGACCACAGACAAGAGAGCAAAGGAGACGCAGGGGAUGCGGAGGGUGGGGUGGGCAGGGCAGGUAAAGGGGUUUGGACUGUCUCUUGAGGGUACUGGGGAGCCAUGGAGGAGGUUGGAGCAGAGAAGGGGCAGGGCUGGGGAAGGGCUUGGAGGUCUGGGUAGGUCUCCAGGGAGGCCUCAGAAGUGAGAAAAUGGUGACGAGAUGGCCCCAGGGGGCAGAAACAGGGCCCCUGUGACUAGUGUGCCCCCUCGCAGAUCGGACAGCCCACACUGCUGCUGUAUGUGGACGCGGGCCCUGAGACCAUGACCAAGCGGCUCCUGAAGCGCGGAGAGACCAGUGGGCGCGUGGACGACAACGAAGAGACCAUCAAGAAGCGGCUGGAGACCUACUACAAGGCCACAGAGCCCGUCAUCGCCUUCUACGAGAAACGUGGCAUCGUUCGCAAGGUCAAUGCCGAAGGCUCCGUGGACGAUGUCUUCUCGCAGGUGUGCACCCACUUGGACACCCUCAAGUAGCCAAGCUGGAGCCCCUUCCCCUGCUCAGAGCCCCGCCCUGCCCUCAUCCUGACUGGGCCCUCCCGGCCUGCGCUCAGCGCCGCCGCCCUGCCCGGCUGGAGCACAGGCAGAGGAAGCCACUUUAUCCUGUUUUCAUGGACAGCCGAACACUAAAGGAAUUUCCAAG